RNAcentral lists this ribosomal RNA (253 nucleotides) under uncultured bacterium. RNAcentral describes it as "partial 16S ribosomal RNA". It matches the Rfam family "Bacterial small subunit ribosomal RNA", at positions 524 to 776 of the family's 1533-position model. The record is from RNAcentral.
UACGUAGGGUGCGAGCGUUAAUCGGAAUUACUGGGCGUAAAGCGUGCGCAGGCGGUUUGUUAAGACAGAUGUGAAAUCCCCGGGCUUAACCUGGGAACUGCAUUUGUGACUGGCAAGCUAGAGUAUGGCAGAGGGGGGUAGAAUUCCACGUGUAGCAGUGAAAUGCGUAGAGAUGCGGAGGAACACCGAUGGCGAAGGCAGCCCCCUGGGCUAGCACUGACGCUCAGGCACGAAAGCGUGGGGAGCAAACAGG